Molecule: ribosomal RNA, 460 nt
Filed under: Enterobacter sp.
Lineage: Bacteria; Pseudomonadati; Pseudomonadota; Gammaproteobacteria; Enterobacterales; Enterobacteriaceae
Description: bacterial SSU rRNA
Rfam family: Bacterial small subunit ribosomal RNA
Source: RNAcentral
UGUCUGGGAAACUGCCUGAUGGAGGGGGAUAACUACUGGAAACGGUAGCUAAUACCGCAUAANGUCGCAGGACCAAAGAGGGGGACCUUCGGGCCUCUUGCCAUCGGAUGUGCCCAGAUGGGAUUAGCUAGUAGGUGGGGUAACGGCUCACCUAGGCGACGAUCCCUAGCUGGUCUGAGAGGAUGACCAGCCACACUGGAACUGAGACACGGUCCAUACUCCUACGGGAGGCAGCAGUGGGGAAUAUUGCACAAUGGGCGCAAGCCUGAUGCUCCCAUGCCGCGUGUAUGAAGAAGGCCUUCGGGUUGUAAAGUACUUUCAGCGGGGAGGAAGGCGAUAAGGUUAAUAACCUUGUCGAUUGACGUUACCCGCAGAAGAAGCACCGGCUAACUCCGUGCCAGCAGCCGCGGAAAUACGGAGGGUGCAAGCGUUAAUCGGAAUUACUGGGCGUAAAGCGCAC